UUUAAAGCACAAGUCAACUUGCACAUGUCCUACGUAUGAUGCAUAAGAUAUGUUGAGCAAACUUGAUUUUGUACCAUAUGAACUUACAGGUAAAACCUAAUGGAUAUCACAAUCUAAAGCACGGCGAUUUAGAUGCUGGAUAAACUAUUGAUUAAAGGAAAUAUAGCGAGGUGUCCAAAAUUUAUUCGAUAACGGUCUUCCAUUAACGCGUUAAACGCGUCAUUUUUGUCAUUUUGUUCCUGGGAACCGACACUAAACUUUUUAUUUGUACACGGACUGCCACGGACGCGUUUUUUGUAUUAACACACAGCACCGCUUAAAGGCGAGAAUUCCUUUGUGCGUCCAAUGUACGGUACGUGUCCUGUGUCAAAAGCAGUCUUAAACCCAAGUCACACAAGCAACGCAAUCUCGCUGCGAUAUCGCAGCCGGCAUCCGUCGGGCACAUUUGUACCUUUACAAUGAAAAAGUAUGCUUUUGUUUUCGCAGUAUCUGAUUUAUCAUGUGAUUCGAAUUUGACUGCUCUUGGCGCAGAUGCGCGCAUUAAGCACACCUAGAACAUCCCGCCUUAAAUGGGAAGCAAAACAAAAUGAACUUCGUGUUUAAGAUAUUUAGAUAAUGACUGUAUAAAUUAUGCAGUUUAGAAACUUUAAAUUGCAUAAUUAACAAAGCACCAAUCUAUCCUCACUUUAUUUCUUCCGCUAUUCGAUUCAUUGAUCGUAUCGAUUUCUUAUUGAUAAAAUCUUAAAAGCUGUCGAGAAACAAUUUGAUAGCAGAACUAAUGUUAGCUUGAAAUAGUCUACUACGGAAGAUAGAAUGGAAGGGAAGAGAUGUCUUCGAAAGCAUUUUUUGAGCGAUUCGGUAUUUAUCGAAUGAUUAUACCUGUAACGAAGCUUCUUAUGGAAAUACUAUACAAUACGUUUAUCGACGAUAAAUCGCAAGCGUGUUCGUUGCUUAAUUCCAAUUACGUAAGGCUCGAUUUACACGAUAGCACCUUCUCGUUUUAUUUCACAAAUCUUUCCUUUUCGCGGAUGUCACUUUGAUUCUUUGGGCAAUGUCGAAAAACUCAAUUGGUUAAUUCUUGUCUGAAUCAAUAAUUUAACAUAUACAACAAUAAUAAUACUAUCAAUAACGAAAAAUGUUAUUAUUAUGCGGAAAUAGAUAGUUUUUAUGGAGGUUAAUCUAUUAAUUCUAAGGUUAAGCUCCAUCGUUCUACCAGUAUAAUAAAAGUAACAUGAAUUCGAGGUAUAAAUAGAUACAAAUCUAUUACUUUUAAUUAAAAUUAGUUAGUGUGAUCGUAUCGUUAAAUUCGAUUUUUCAAUCAAAGAUCAUAUUUUUCCAAAAAAUACCUCGAAUUUAACAAUACAUCUAACAUUUCUGAAUACAGACAUUGCAUCGCUACUUAUGUCGGACUUGUAUUAACAAUUCAUCGCACGCUCGUCUAUUUACUGAUUCUAGAAUAAAAUAAGUAAACAUACUAUUUCCUUGUGAUACAGUCUUAAAUUUGCCUCGUACUCUCGCUCUGUUCUCAUCUUAAAAUGUUUACGAACUAUACACAAUUUUUAUACAAUUAGGCAUAUUCGUUUGUUUAUCGUUUAUGUCUUUUUUUUUUUUUUGUUACUUUUACGUUAGAUGAUAAAUAUCAAACGAAUUUUCGCUUAUCAUCUGCAUACCGUACAUACUAACACGGAUUGGCUUUCGUUCUUAAGAACGUAAUUAUCCGCGUGAUAUGGUUCGCUUUGUUUAUUCAUAUUACUUUUUUUUUACUUUUGUUGUUUCUUUUUCUUGGUUUUAAAUGGUCCGUAAAUUUUGUGUUCGACGCAGCAGGUAGUGCGUGAUAAGGCCCUAAAUGUACAUUCAAAAAAUUCAUAAAAACUUUUCGGCAGUAAUGAUGAUAGACACGUGCGAAUCAUUUCAUAACAUCUCGCGUUUAUAGUACGUUUAUCAUACGCAGCUAUGCGAAAAUUGUGAACGUAUAUAGAUCAGUACGAGCCGCAUAACAUUCCAUUUAGGCAGACGAGCGAUUUGCGAUAGCGUAACCGCCGUGGUAAUUUCCUACUACGUUUAUGCGUCCAAUUUUUGCGUUAAUUUGCCGCCACGUUUUGCGUUCCCGUGUAAACUACUUCAUAUAAAUCUAUGCUAUUC
Bombus impatiens (common eastern bumble bee) is the source of this 2142-nucleotide long non-coding RNA. RefSeq lists it as uncharacterized. The record is from RefSeq and is a predicted model, not a curated record. NCBI's taxonomy places the organism in Eukaryota, Metazoa, Arthropoda, Insecta, Hymenoptera, Apidae. The transcript is spliced from 2 exons.